ACAGGAGUUGACAUCACUGAUCUUACUACCGACAACAUUCAUCUUUGUUCGAUUAUAUCUUUCUUUAAAAACAGUUACUUAACAAACAAUUACACAAUAUGAAAAAAACCAAUUAUUUCAAGAAUGGGCAAUGGCAAUAAACAGUUAUUAUUAGUAAAAUCGCUCAAUGUUUGAAACAAAUAUGUGGAAAAUGUAAAUAAAGCCCUGUAUUAAAUUAUGAAUUUCUCUUCAUUAUGGGUUUUUUACGAUCACUUGUUAUCAUUUACAUGCUCAUAUACAUAAUUGUAUAUUUAGGUUUAGUUGGAACACUAGUUUAUAUACGUGGAGUUUUGCUCGCUCGCAAUAACUUACCAGAAGACUACACAGCUGAUUUAUAAGGAAGAUAAUAAAACAAUAGCUAUAAAAUAUAUUUAUUAUAAAAGGCACAGACCUGGACGGAAUAGUAAAAUUAAGUCUUUUACAACAACAUGGAAUGUCUAACUUAAAUAGGUACAAGAAAAAUUAAACCAUUGUAAGAUACAUUCAUAUAUACAAAAUUAAACAACAA
This is a long non-coding RNA of Pieris brassicae (large cabbage white), 547 nucleotides long. RefSeq lists it as uncharacterized. NCBI's taxonomy places the organism in Eukaryota, Metazoa, Arthropoda, Insecta, Lepidoptera, Pieridae. The record is from RefSeq and is a predicted model, not a curated record. The transcript is spliced from 2 exons.